Molecule: long non-coding RNA, 974 nt
Organism: Arabidopsis thaliana (thale cress)
Lineage: Eukaryota; Viridiplantae; Streptophyta; Magnoliopsida; Brassicales; Brassicaceae
Product: other RNA
Exons: 1
Source: RefSeq
UUGAUAAAGACUAGAGAGUAAGAGAGUAAGUAAGCAUUGAUGCAAAUGAGAUGGUGUGAUCUUGCUUACCCGGGGAAGAACAUGAAGACGAACAUGAACUGUAAAUACAUCUCGAAGAACUUCCUUCUGUACCAUCUUACUCUUAGCCAGUUCAUGAUGAUUGGCUAACACAAACCAUAGUAUAAUAUAUAAGCUCCACACUCAUAAUCAUGAAUCAUCUAAAUCUUUGAAAAUACAAUGUAUGUGUCCUCAAACUUACUGGCAUUACUAGGAAGUACCAAACGGAUAUGAUCCCGAUAUCGAGCACAACACUGCUCAAUUCCUGCUGGUUGUUAACUCCUGUUAUUGCUAAGGCUGGAUGGUCAAUCUGAAAAACUAACGAUUUUCGAUUACUGACCACUGUUGUCUCAUAGUUUCGAUAGUGAAUAAAGGUCUCGUAUGUUCUUACCGUGGCAAGAACUGCCCCGAGUUGAGCUGCCAAGAUUGUCUUCUUUGCUCCAAGUAUAUCACAGGCCUUUGCUCUCAUCUUGUUAACAUUCUGCAGUGAACAAUAAUAAGUCACGGUGAAGAAGCAGAGAGUUUUCUGCAGAUUCAUGUUGAUUGGUUGUACACUUAGCUAAGGUAGAGAAGUCUUACAUGAAGAAGAGUGUCGUUGGGUUUGGUGUGAGAUGUAAUACAGAAAGGAGAUUUGACACUGCGUGGCUUCAAGGAGAGAGAUGGCAAAGCAUUUGGGGCAUAGAGCCCAAGAGAGCCGCACCGGCUCAUCUCUAUGUGUCUGUUGUUCUUGUUUUUGGUUGUGAAGUUUCCUUAUCUCUUGAGAUUGGUUCUAAUGGCAGAGACUUCUAGGAUUACUUUUGUCUGAAUCACAUAAAUUCCACGUGUCAUAAGGAGGUCCCACGUUUGAUUUUGGCAUAUAGUGUUUUAUUUCAAGAAAAUGAAAUAAAAACGAAUAAUCUCAUUCCAAAUUCCACAUG